RNAcentral lists this unclassified non-coding RNA (277 nucleotides) under Bombus terrestris (buff-tailed bumblebee). RNAcentral's name for it is "misc RNA ENSBTSG00005034532.1". The record is from RNAcentral. Lineage: Eukaryota; Metazoa; Arthropoda; Insecta; Hymenoptera; Apidae.
GGUUGUGAUAAUAGUGGUUUGCGCAUCCUCCUCCGUAUGACUUUUGAGGUUGCUGUUGUUGAUAAUGUGUGGUGUGAAUGUGUUGCAGAGGUGGUUGGAGAAUUCUUCAGCUUGUUCUUCGUUGCUUCUUGCCCAUGUGUUAUCUGCUUUUCUGAUUGCUGGGACGGGUAUUAUUGGCUUCUUUAUUUUUUUAAUUCUAAGAGCACACGUCGAGAGGUCGGGUGUAUAAAGCCGCUAAGCCGAACGAACACGUUGACAUUGUUUAUCACUGAAUAAU